RNAcentral lists this ribosomal RNA (423 nucleotides) under uncultured bacterium. RNAcentral describes it as "partial 16S ribosomal RNA". It matches the Rfam family "Bacterial small subunit ribosomal RNA", at positions 359 to 774 of the family's 1533-position model. The record is from RNAcentral.
GAAUUUUGGACAAUGGGCGAAAGCCUGAUCCAGCAACGCCGCGUGCAGGAUGAAGGCCUUCGGGUUGUAAACUGCUUUUGUACGGAACGAAAAGCGUUGGGUUAAUAACCUGGAUUCCUGACGGUACAGUAAGAAUAAGCACCGGCGAAAUACGUCCCAGCAGCCGCGGUAAUACGUAGGGUGCAAGCGUUAAUCGGAAUUACUGGGCGUAAAGCGUGCGCAGGCGGUUUUGUAAGACAGAGGUGAAAUCCCCGGGCUCAACCGGGGAACUGCCUUUGUGACUGCAAGGCUAGAGUACGGCAGAGGGGGGUGGAAUUCCGCGUGUAGCAGUGAAAGGCGUAGAUAUGCGGAGGAACACCGAUGGCGAAGGCAACCCCCUGGGCCUGUACUGACGCUCAUGCACGAAAGCGUGGGGAGCAAACA